RNAcentral lists this ribosomal RNA (711 nucleotides) under uncultured bacterium. RNAcentral's name for it is "bacterial SSU rRNA". It matches the Rfam family "Bacterial small subunit ribosomal RNA", at positions 105 to 801 of the family's 1533-position model. The record is from RNAcentral.
GGUGAGUAACACGUGGGUAACCNGNCUGUAAGACUGGGAUAACUCCGGGAAACCGGGGCUAAUACCGGAUGGUUGUUUGAACCGCAUGGUUCAAACAUAAAAGGUGGCUUCGGCUACCACUUACAGAUGGACCCGCGGCGCAUUAGCUAGUUGGUGAGGUAACGGCUCACCAAGGCGACGAUGCGUAGCCGACCUGAGAGGGUGAUCGGCCACACUGGGACUGAGACACGGCCCAGACUCCUACGGGAGGCAGCAGUAGGGAAUCUUCCGCAAUGGACGAAAGUCUGACGGAGCAACGCCGCGUGAGUGAUGAAGGUUUUCGGAUCGUAAAGCUCUGUUGUUAGGGAAGAACAAGUACCGUUCGAAUAGGGCGGUACCUUGACGGUACCUAACCAGAAAGCCACGGCUAACUACGUGCCAGCAGCCGCGGUAAUACGUAGGUGGCAAGCGUUGUCCGGAAUUAUUGGGCGUAAAGGGCUCGCAGGCGGUUUCUUAAGUCUGAUGUGAAAGCCCCCGGCUCAACCGGGGAGGGUCAUUGGANACUGGGGAACUUGAGUGCAGAAGANGAGAGUGGAAUUCCACGUGUAGCGGUGAAAUGCGUANAGAUGUGGAGGAACACCAGUGGCGAANGCNACUCUCUGGUCUGUAACUGACGCUGANGAGCGAAAGCGUGGGGAGCGAACAGGAUUANAUACCCUGGUAGUCCACGCC